UUAGAUACAGGAUCCCAAAAAGACAAAAUCCAUCUCACGGAAAACCAAAUGCUUACGCUUGCCACGUUUUAGCUUAGGAAGGGUUGGUUUAUAUAAUGGACUUAUAGAGACGAUAAAGUCCGUCUUUACAAGUAUAACCAUCACCAUAGUACGCAAUAUUAGCAGCGGCUGUUACUGAAACGCUACCGCAGCGUUCAUGACGCGACUAGAGCCUCGUCACAAGUUCAACAUAAAAUUCAAUCCUUCUACUUCACGGCUCGAGUCUCAGAAACAGAGAGAUAAGACAUUAAGUGGGGCUAAAAAUUCUCUGUUCCUUAAUGGUGAUCCUAUGCCAGUCCAUCUGACGACUCCUUUCCCUUGCGUUAUCCGCGCACCACAAGGCACAAACACCUCCACAGAUAACCAGAAAUGGCAAUUGCUCUCAAAAUACCAAGUUUCAAGUUUCCUUCACCAAAUCAUCUUAGAAUCCGAACUACACCCCAAGUCACAUCCCCUUCGUUUAUCCCUAUAUCCCAAAUCUCACCAUCCCAAGCUACAUCAAAAGCCCCUUUGAAUUCCCUCCAGAAAAGCACCACCCUUUCUGAAAACAGAAAGUACAAGAUUGACGCCACUUUACCAACCAUGUCAGAGAUAUUGCAGUCCUCGAAGGCCCAGAACCUCGACCUCCAGCUCCAAACUCUCGGACCCUUUUUCAGGAUCACAGCCAAGAGCUUGGAAACCCAAAAAGAGCUUGGGAAGGCUGAGGGCCUGAUAAGGGUCUGGCUGAGAGGGAGAAUUCUUCACUUGGAUUCCAUUAGAUUGAGGAGAGAGACACUGGGAAUGGAGAAAUCAAUCUUUGGUAUUGGUUUGUUCAUUGGAGCUGUUGCUGUAAGGUAUGGAUAUGAUUGUGGUUGCAAGACAGCUGAGUUACUGGCAAUCAAUGACUCUGAUCUUUACCACUCGAAGGUUUUUGUCCUCCCUGCAAUCGUUUACGUUAUGUGCUAUUGUUGUAUUUAAUUCAAAAGUGAUGGUAACUAAGUAUAUCUUCACUUGUCAGCCAGUUGAUAUUUCGCCGUUUAAGUAGUCUCUUUUGCUCAGCCCGUUUGGAAAGGAAACGGUAAAAUGGUUAGGAAGAUGUUGUUAAAGGAAAGCAGAAAAUCAAACUUGGUUUCAUCACAGACUUUAACUUUAGUAUUAGUUCGAAGUUGGCAUAAGUCAAGCGCAAGCUUGUUAGGUUCUACACCAGAAUUGGGUUCAAGGCUGUACAUGAAGUGACGGGUACAGCAUUUGGAGAUUAUGCCCACAUGUUGGUUUGGGGAGGCAUUGGUACCCGAAUGGAUGCCAAUGUUGAAGCGCUUCUAAUAAGAUGGUGCACCAGGUUCAAAUCUCGGAAGUGAUUUCACUCUGAUCCAUGGUUGAGAAGAUUUUCAUCAAGACCAUUGAUUGAAUAUUACUUUUUCUUAUAAAUUCUAUGAAGCAUAGGCUAGAGAGCUUUUGGAAAUUAUGCUUAUCCAACUGUAGAAAAUUAUUCUGUGAAUGGUUGGUAGCACUGGUCCGAAGCAUCGCCCCGGCCAAUCAGCUUGUAGUUGAACUUUCUGAAUGAGUUUUACUCCAGCUAUCAAGUAUGCAACGAAAACUCCGGGGUUGAGCUGAGGGAACAGUACUUUAUACAGCUGGCUGACACGAACCAGGCUGCGAGGAACAAAGAGAUUCGGCUUUGUACAGUUCUCUCUUAAUGGGGGUGAUGCUCAUCCGUACAUUUCUUUUGCAAUUUGUGUCAUGUUGAAGAGAAGGAUUCAAAGGCAUCUGAGCCAUAAGAACAUGAGCUCCAUACCAAGUCCUAGAGUAUCUAGACUUAUUUGAUGGUAGUAACCUAUAUUUGUCCAAGCUCUGCAAGUAUUUUUAAAGCCUUUUCUUAUUGUUUAUAUUUUUGAGAUGCUUAGCUGGUGCGGAUCACCACGAACAAUAUGCUAAAUUUUGUUACUUUAUGCUUAAGUAGAUUAUAUUCAAGAAAAUUGACUAUCAGUAGCCAUUGAACGGA
This is an RNA transcript of Carya illinoinensis, 2020 nucleotides long. RefSeq lists it as uncharacterized. NCBI's taxonomy places the organism in Eukaryota, Viridiplantae, Streptophyta, Magnoliopsida, Fagales, Juglandaceae. The transcript has 2 exons. The record is from RefSeq and is a predicted model, not a curated record.